This 497-nucleotide ribosomal RNA is filed under the name uncultured bacterium. RNAcentral describes it as "partial 16S ribosomal RNA". It matches the Rfam family "Bacterial small subunit ribosomal RNA", at positions 28 to 507 of the family's 1533-position model. The record is from RNAcentral.
GAUGAACGCUGGCGGCGUGCCUAAUACAUGCAAGUCGAGCGAACAGGCGAGGAGCUUGCUCCUCUGACGUUAGCGGCGGACGGGUGAGUAACACGUGGAUAACCUACCUAUAAGACUGGGAUAACUUCGGGAAACCGGAGCUAAUACCGGAUAAUAUAUUGAACCGCAUGGUUCAAUAGUGAAAGACGGUUUUGCUUUCACUUAUAGAUGGAUCCGCGCCGCAUUAGCUAGUUGGUAAGGUAACGGCUUACCAAGGCAACGAUGCGUAGCCGACCUGAGAGGGUGAUCGGCCACACUGGAACUGAGACACGGUCCAGACUCCUACGGGAGGCAGCAGUAGGGAAUCUUCCGCAAUGGGCGAAAGCCUGACGGAGCAACGCCGCGUGAGUGAUGAAGGUCUUCGGAUCGUAAAACUCUGUUAUUAGGGAAGAACAAAUGUGUAAGUAACUAUGCACGUCUUGACGGUACCUAAUCAGAAAGCCACGGCUAACUACGUG